This 460-nucleotide ribosomal RNA is filed under the name uncultured bacterium. RNAcentral's name for it is "partial 16S ribosomal RNA". It matches the Rfam family "Bacterial small subunit ribosomal RNA", at positions 338 to 795 of the family's 1533-position model. The record is from RNAcentral.
CCUACGGGAGGCAGCAGUGAGGAAUAUUGGUCAAUGGACGAGAGUCUGUACCAGCCAAGUAGCGUGAAGGAUGAAUGCCCUAUGGGUUGUAAGCUUCUUUUAUAUGGGAAUAAAAUGUUCCACGUGUGGGAUUUUGUAUGUACCAUAUGAAUAAGGAUCGGCUAACUCCGUGCCAGCAGCCGCGGUAAUACGGAGGAUCCGAGCGUUAUCCGGAUUUAUUGGGUUUAAAGGGAGCGUAGGUGGAUUGUUAAGUCAGUUGUGAAAGUUUGCGGCUCAACCGUAAAAUUGCAGUUGAAACUGGAAGGCUUGAGUACAGUAGAGGUGGGCGGAAUUCGUGGUGUAGCGGUGAAAUGCUUAGAUAUCACGAAGAACUCCGAUUGCGAAGGCAGUUCACUGGACUGCAACUGACACUGAGGCUCGAAAGUGUGGGUAGCAAACAGGAUUAGAUACCCUAGUAGUC